Small RNA from Niabella soli DSM 19437, 83 nucleotides. It matches the Rfam family "Flavo-1 RNA". Lineage: Bacteria; Pseudomonadati; Bacteroidota; Chitinophagia; Chitinophagales; Chitinophagaceae. The record is from Rfam.
AUUUCCCCCGCGUUAGGGAUUGCAGCGGCAUCCUUUUGUGAAGUGCAACGGAACAAAAGAUAUAGCGGAAAGCCCGACCCGUA